AACAUUUGUUAGCUAUAUAUUUAUUAUUUUGUUCAUUUCAUUUCGAAUUAAGUAACAUCAUUUUCGCGAUAAAAUGUAAAUUAUUUAAUUAAAAAAUACUUAUCAACAUCCGACAAAUAUGUUCAACAACAUUGAAGACAUUCGGCAGAUAUUAAAACGAGAAAGUCUUCCAAAAUUAUUUCCACAACUUAUAACCGUCAAUAGUAAUGAUAAAACGUAAAAUCAAAGGAAUACAUUAAUGCAAGAAAAACACCGUGUGGCCGAACACCUCCAGCAGCUGUGAGAAGAACUGGCCAAGGACCCACUUUGUUUUUGUUGCUACGAAGAAAAUGUAUUUUGGUCGAUGCACGAAUUAGAAUACAAAUCAAUUCGAUUUAAAAGCGGCUUACCAUGCCAAAAGGGUCAGUGAAGAAGACAAAUACUGGAAAGAACUACCCAUGAUGAUUACUUGAUGAUUAUUCGUACUCGAUUCCGAUUUAAAUGUAUGGUCAGAGAAGAGGAGUUCUUUAAGCGAAGAUAAAUGCCUUAGUUCAAAUUUGACUUCAAUAAUCAAAAUGCAAACUUUCUAAAAAAGGUUCUCAUUUUGAACGAGUCUAGAGAGAUUCACAAUGGGAGUGUACAGAAGAAUUGGUGGAAUCCCACUUACCAAAGCUCUACUGGCAACUAUCAGUCAAAUAAUCGAAACUAAUUUUGACAGUUCCUUCCUCAGUCAAAGAUUAAAUAAUCGAUUCCAACAGCAAGUGCAAUCAACUGAGCAUAGAGAAAUCAUCUGGAUGCCUUAAAUCGCCUUAAAAUUCUUCAAAGCUUAUGACAACGAUGUCCAAGUACAAUGGAAUGUUUCGAUUUAUUGCUAAAGUGUGGUCCUGUCUAUGAGUAUAGAUGAAUACAGAAAAGCAUCGCUCUUUACAAUGGAUCAUUCGAUUUGGACUUCCAAUUCCUGACCUGAUUAAAACAGCAUACGUUUUAACAGAAAACACCGCGAAAAAUUAUGCAAGAGCCGAAGGUUAUUCUUGGUCGUUAGUAUCUAUCUAGCACAAUAUUCCAUUGGACUAGAGAAAAUUUGUCCUUCGUUAAAGGCAAU
Long non-coding RNA from Episyrphus balteatus (marmalade hoverfly), 1081 nucleotides. RefSeq lists it as uncharacterized. The transcript is spliced from 5 exons. NCBI's taxonomy places the organism in Eukaryota, Metazoa, Arthropoda, Insecta, Diptera, Syrphidae. The record is from RefSeq and is a predicted model, not a curated record.